Molecule: ribosomal RNA, 818 nt
Filed under: uncultured marine archaeon
Lineage: Archaea
Description: bacterial SSU rRNA
Rfam family: Archaeal small subunit ribosomal RNA
Source: RNAcentral
CUGACUGCUAUCGGAUUGAUACUAAGCCAUGCGAGUCAUUGUAGCAAUACAAGGCAGACGGCUCAGUAACGCGUAGUCAACCUAACCUAUGGACGGGAAUAACCUCGGGAAACUGAGAAUAAUGCCCGAUAGAACACUAUACCUGGAAUGGUUUGUGUUCCAAAUGAUUUAUCGCCGUAGGAUGGGACUGCGGCCUAUCAGUUUGUUGGUGAGGUAAUGGCCCACCAAGACUAUUACAGGUACGGGCUCUGAGAGGAGUAGCCCGGAGAUGGGUACUGAGACACGGACCCAGGCCCUAUGGGGCGCAGCAGGCGAGAAAACUUUGCAAUGUGCGAAAGCACGACAAGGUUAAUCCGAGUGGUUUCUGCUAAAGGAACCUUUUGUCGGUCCUAGAAACACCGAUGAAUAAGGGGUGGGCAAGUUCUGGUGUCAGCCGCCGCGGUAAAACCAGCACCUCAAGUGGUCAGGAUGAUUAUUGGGCCUAAAGCAUCCGUAGCCGGCGCUAUAAGUUUUCGGUUAAAUCUGUACGCUCAACGUACAGGCUGCCGGGAAUACUGUAGCGCUAGGGAGUGGGAGAGGUAGACGGUACUCGGUAGGAAGGGGUAAAAUCCUUUGAUCUAUUGAUGACCACCUGUGGCGAAGGCGGUCUACCAGAACACGUCCGACGGUGAGGGAUGAAAGCUGGGGGGAGCAAACCGGAUUAGAUACCCGGGUAGUCCCAGCUGUAAACUAUGCAAACUCAGUGAUGCAUUGGCUUGUGGCCAAUGCAGUGCUGCAAGGGAAGCCGUUAAGCUUGCCGCCUGGGGAAGUACGUACGC